RNAcentral lists this long non-coding RNA (1004 nucleotides) under Marmota marmota marmota (Alpine marmot). RNAcentral describes it as "lncRNA (ENSMMMG00000017937.1)". The record is from RNAcentral. Lineage: Eukaryota; Metazoa; Chordata; Mammalia; Rodentia; Sciuridae.
GCCAACGGGAGGUGGAGUCCGGGCCGCCAACUUGCGGGGGUUUCCCGCAGUGGCGGAGCGGGGUCUAGGGUUGGAGACUGAGUCCCCGGAAAGGGUGAGUCUGGACGGGACACCGAAGCGGCGCGCCCGGGAAGUCAUCUGGAAGAAGGCUUGAGGACUGGAUGCACUUAUCAGAAUGUGGGCGGGAGGGAGCCCCCACUCCCUCCGGGCUGGCCAGAUAUCCAGCGGGUGCACAGCGCAGAUACUCCCCUGACAGGGGAGGUUUGGAGGUGGUAAAGGGUCCGGAGGUGCUGCUUCAUGGGUACACACCUCACUCCGAUUCUAUCUUCAAAGCUGGUCCUGGGUCCAGUGGAGACAGGAAGGAGGAAGUGGCCACCUCAAAAGUCUCUUUCUCAAGAUGUCAUCCCAGACGGUGAGGAAGCUGGCUCGGAGGGGAGCCCAGGAAUCUGGCGGUUAGAACAUUCUUCUCUUUCCAGCGCUGUCUUAUAUCAGUAACAUCUCCAGAAUCGCUGAUAGUCUGGUGAAACUGGAGACCCGGACCAGGAAUCGGGGGUACCAAGCUGGUCACAAGUGUGUGUCUUUCUCUGCCCCCAUGCCCGGAGGAGUCAGCAGGGACUGGGCUCUCUUGCUGGGAUAGAUGCAGGGAAUGGGAAUUACUGGGAUGGCGAAACCAAUUGUAAUGGAUUUAUUUAUUAUUUUGUGGUACUGGGGAUGGAACCUAGAGGGUCUGGGGCAUGCUAAGCAAGCCCUCUACAACUCUGCACCCUCAGCCCCAAUAAUACUUUUAUUCUCAUUUGGGUGAUGUUCAUUCAUUUUUUCAUGCCAAUGUCCAUGUUUGUGCUGAAUGUGCAGGACCGCAUUGAAGCCUCACAGUCAUUUUUCCAGUCAACAUUCUCAGCACCUCCACUUUCCAGAUGGGGAAACUGAGGCCUGCAGUGGCUAAGAGAAUUGUCUGAGUUGUCAUAAGAAGUCCUAGGAUGCACACCCAGGUUUGUUUUAUCACA